Dunckerocampus dactyliophorus (ringed pipefish) is the source of this 410-nucleotide long non-coding RNA. RefSeq lists it as uncharacterized. Lineage: Eukaryota; Metazoa; Chordata; Actinopteri; Syngnathiformes; Syngnathidae. The record is from RefSeq and is a predicted model, not a curated record. The transcript is spliced from 4 exons.
GCUGAAAUGAAAAGCAGAUGGAAGAGUUGACAAUUAGGAAUCAUUUUGCAUCAGUAGUGUUGCUGUGAGCUGAAUCGGCACUGCCUGUGCAACAUUUGGCAAAGUAAGUGAACGCUACGUUAUAUCUUCAUUUUGAAUGAGCUAAUGGCUAACUAGCUAAUUGGCACGAGGAGCCCCCACACGUAGGCCUGCUGGCCCCCAGCAAAGGACUUGAUAUGCUGUACAAGAUACAAGAUAUCAAGAAAACCUUUGCCUGAGUCUUACAUGAAUGUGAGGUGGAUGGAGAUGUCUUUGAUGAGCUUGUCAAGUCAGGUGUUUUGACUUUCAAGGUCCUUUUAUCAGUGACAGGUAAGGAUGUGAAAACAUUGGAAAAUGCAUGAGGUGGUUUAGAUAUCACAGGUAGUGUGGAC